GGAUACAUAACUCAGUCGGUCAGAGUAUCGCGUUGACAUCGUGAAAGUCACUGGUUCGAGUCCAGUUGUAUCCAAAG
This 77-nucleotide transfer RNA is filed under the name Gracilaria tenuistipitata var. liui. RNAcentral's name for it is "tRNA-Val". It matches the Rfam family "tRNA". Rfam says of the family: Transfer RNA (tRNA) molecules are approximately 80 nucleotides in length. The record is from RNAcentral. Lineage: Eukaryota; Rhodophyta; Florideophyceae; Gracilariales; Gracilariaceae.